RNAcentral lists this ribosomal RNA (248 nucleotides) under uncultured bacterium. Its description in RNAcentral is "partial 16S ribosomal RNA". It matches the Rfam family "Bacterial small subunit ribosomal RNA", at positions 85 to 334 of the family's 1533-position model. The record is from RNAcentral.
UAGAUGGCGACCGGCGCGCGGGUGAGUAACACGUAUCCAACCUGCCGAUAACUCGGGGAUAGCCUUUCGAAAGAAAGAUUAAUACCCGAUGGUAUAAUCAGACCGCAUGGUUUGAUUAUUAAAGAAUUUCGGUUAUCGAUGGGGAUGCGUUCCAUUAGGCAGUUGGUGAGGUAACGGCUCACCAAACCUUCGAUGGAUAGGGGUUCUGAGAGGAAGGUCCCCCACAUUGGAACUGAGACACGGUCCAA